GCGGAGGUGAGCUGGGGUCGGGGGGCACAAGGAGGGCCGCCCGCACUGCAGCAGGCAUUCUUGAGGAUUUGGCAGGAGGCCCUAAUCCCUGAAGCUAUAGAUGAUUUAUCGCUCCUACUUAUAUACACUGAAGUAAUGAUAUGCCAGCUGUAUUGCAUGUUACCUGGUGGCAGUCUUACUCCAAAUCUGUAUGAGCACAGACAGGAGGUAUGCCAGUAGCCUCAUAAUUUCACCUAACUGUGAUUUUCCUACUGCUGAAUAGGACAAGAUACUCCUCAGCUUUACCACCUAAUAGCUGUCUCAGGGCUGACCUGUUUCUGCUUCAGAAGUAUCUGCAUGUACUGUUAACUUCUCUUUAUUGUUAAAUUCUGGCAAUAUACUUGACUCUGUGUAAGACAAGUAUAAGCCAUUGAAUUAGUGAGAGAAAGAGAAGGUUAUAACCUCCAAAGGGGUUAUUUCCACACAGGAAUUUUUUAAAAAAUAAAAUGUGUAAAGUUACCUUGAGUUUUAUCAAGUGGAAGGAUCUUUCACUCUGUACUGGCACUGUGACGAGGCAUUGAAAGUUUAAUGACCCAAGUAGCCUGAAUUGUAAUGCAUUUUCUUGCUGCUGUUAGAAUGUUUUCUGGUUUUGCAAUAUUUUUAACAUUUUACACUGUAUAAGUUGUCAAAAUGCAGUACCUUAAUAAACCUUCACUCUCCAGGAAUCUUUCUGGCCUCCUGCAGGGAUCUGUAUUAUCUCCAAUGUUGUUCAAUUUAUAUUAGAAUGAUCUACCAUAUACUAGGUCUUGCACAUUUGCUUAUGCAGACAACAUAUGCCUCAGCACUCAGUCACACUCCUUUGACAUACUUGAGAGUGUUCUGAAUGCAGAUAUGGUGGCUCUGGCCAAUUGUCAUUGGUGGCACCUGAUACCAAGUGGAAAUAAGACUGUGUUGAGUGUCUUCCACUUACAUCAUGCACAAGA
Chelonia mydas (Green sea turtle) is the source of this 962-nucleotide long non-coding RNA. RefSeq lists it as uncharacterized. The transcript is spliced from 3 exons. The record is from RefSeq and is a predicted model, not a curated record. Lineage: Eukaryota; Metazoa; Chordata; Testudines; Cheloniidae.